Molecule: ribosomal RNA, 238 nt
Filed under: uncultured bacterium
Lineage: Bacteria
Description: partial 16S ribosomal RNA
Rfam family: Bacterial small subunit ribosomal RNA
Source: RNAcentral
CGGCGGACGGGUGAGUAACGCGUGGGUAACCUACCCUGUACACACGGAUAACACACCGAAAGGUAUGCUAAUACGGGAUAAUAUAUUUGAGAGGCAUCUCUUGAAUAUCAAAGGUGAGCCAGUACAGGAUGGACCCGCGUCUGAUUAGCUAGUUGGUAAGGUAACGGCUUACCAAGGCGACGAUCAGUAGCCGACCUGAGAGGGUGAUCGGCCACAUUGGAACUGAGACACGGUCCAA